UUUAAAUGCAACCUGAGUUUCCGUGUCCAACUUUGAUCGUCCAUCUUAUUUAAAAUUAUUUUAUAAUUAGUAUUUUUAUUGUUAUGAGAUGAUAAAAUAUAAAUAAUAUUUUACUCGUGACUUAUGUUUUUUAAAUUUUUUUAGAAUUUUUUUAAAUAAGACGAAUAAUUAAAAUUGGAUAUGAAAAAUCAUAGUUGCACCGUGG
Oryza nivara is the source of this 205-nucleotide non-coding RNA. Lineage: Eukaryota; Viridiplantae; Streptophyta; Magnoliopsida; Poales; Poaceae. The record is from Rfam.